RNAcentral lists this ribosomal RNA (3271 nucleotides) under Ambystoma mexicanum (axolotl). RNAcentral describes it as "eukaryotic LSU rRNA". The stretch from base 837 to 3271 matches the Rfam family "Eukaryotic large subunit ribosomal RNA". The record is from RNAcentral. Lineage: Eukaryota; Metazoa; Chordata; Amphibia; Caudata; Ambystomatidae.
UUAAUGUUUAAUGAGGUUGUGUUUAGGAUGGGUUAGAGGGGGUCGGCUGGGCUAUCUGCGUGUGAUUCGGGAGAGGCACAUGGGCAUCUUGGUUUGGGUCGGCAAGGGGGAAGGGGCAUCUUGCUAUGUGGAGGGAGGAUCGGGCAUUAUGGUAUUGGUCUAGAGGGAGGGAUGGGGCAUCUUGGUGGGGUCUGACUGGCUGGAUAGGGGCACGCUGGUGUGGGUCUGGCUGGAUGGGGCACAUUGGUGUGGGUCUGGAGGGAGGGAUAGGGACGUGUGGGUCUGGAGGGAGGGAUAGGGACGCAGUUGUGUGGGUCUGGAGAGAGGAUUGGGGUACAUUGGUGUGGGUCUGAAGGGAGGGUUGGGGAACAUUGGUGUAGGUCUGGAGGGAGAGAUGGGGCACAGUGGGUCUGGAGGGUGGCAUGGGUCAUCUAGGUGUGGGGUGGGAUGGGCAUCUGGUGUGGCUCUAGAGGGAGGGAUGGGGCACAUUGGUGUGGCUUUGAUGGAGGGUUGUACAUUGGUGUGGGUCUGGGGACAGGGAUGGGGCAUAUGGGUGUGGGUUUGGAGGGAGAGAUAAGGCACAGUGGGUCUGGAGGGUGGCAUGGAUCAUCUAGGUGUGGGUUGGGAGAGUGGGAUGGGCCAUCUUGGUGUGGGUCUGGAGGAAGGGGAUGGAGGCACAUUGGUGUGGCUUUGAUGGGAGGGAUGGGGGACAUUGUUCUGUGUCUGGGGAGGGAUGUUUCAUCUAGGUGUGGGUCUGGAAGGCGGGAUGGGGCAUAUUGGUGUGGGUCUGGAUGGAGGGAUGGGCACAUUGGUGUGGGUUUGAUGGGAGGGAUGGGGGACAUUGGUCUGUGUGUGGGGAGGGAUGGUUCAUCUAGGUGUGGGUCUGGAUGGCCAGAUGAGCAUGUGUGAAUAGGACCCGAAAUGGUGAACUAGGCCUGUAGUGGUCCUGAUUUGUAAAUCGGUCAUCCAACCUGGGUAUAGGGGCAAAUGACUAAUCAAACCAUCUAGUAGCAGGUUCCCUCCGAAGUUUCCCUCAGGAUAGCUAGCGCAUGGAAAACCGAGUUUUAUCUGGUAAAGCGAUUGAUUAGAGGUCUUGGUAAGCAGAACUGAAGCUGUGGGAUGAACCGAAAGCUAGGGUAAGGCGCCUGAUGCCGACGCUCAUCAGACCGCAGAAAAGGUGUUGGUUGAUAUAGACAGCAGGAUGGUGGCCAUGGAAGUCGGACUCUGCUGACGAAUCAACUAGCCCUGAAAAUGGAUGCUGCUGGAGCGUCUGGGCCAUAUCGAGCUGGCGCUGAGAGCCGCGGGGGCUAAGCCACGACUAGUAGGAGGGACGUUGCGGUGCGCACGGAAGCCCGGGUUGAGUGCCCAGGUGGAGCUGCUGCAGGUCUUGGUGAUAGUAGCAAAUAUUCAAACAAGAACUUUGAAGGUCUAAGUGUAGAAGGGUUUCAUGUGAACAGCACUUGAACAUGGGUCAGUCGGUCCUAAGAAAAGGUCGAGCGCAGGUAUGGGCGUUGCCCUCAGCCAAUCGAAAAGGUGUCAGGUUCAGAUCCCUGAACCCAGAGUGGCGAAGAUGGGUGCCCUCGCAGCAUACAGUGUAUUAACGCAAACGAUCCCAGAGAAGCUGGCGGGAUCCCCAGGGCGAGUUCUGUUUUCUUUGUGAAGGGCUGGGCACCCUGGAGUGGGAUGCCCCAAGAGAGGGGCCCGAGCCUUGGAAAGCGUUGCAGUUCCGGCGGCGUCCGGUGAGCUCUCGCUGGUCCUUGAAAAUCCGGGGGAGAUGGUGUAAAUCUCACGCCGGGCCGUACCCAUAUCCGCAGCAGUUCUCCAAGGUGAACAGCCUCUGGCAUAUUGGAACAAUGUAGGUAAGGGAAGUUGGCAAGUCGCAUCCGUAACUUCAGGAAGGGCUAGGUUGGUAAGGCUGGUGCGAAGCAGGGCUCGGCAUGCACUGUGGCUGGACAAGCUGUCUCCUCCCCGGGGGCAGCGCCGACUCUGGGUGUGUGCCAGGCCCUUCCUGUGGAUCGCCCCAGCUGAAGUGGUCACCUCUCGCUAUUCCACUCCCGGGGUUCUGGGCCGGCGUUCGGCCUCGGCCGACGCCUAGCAGCUGACUCAGAACUGGUGCGGACCAGGGGAAUCCGACUGUUAAAUUAAAACAAAACAAAGCAUUGUGUAAAGCCCACGGUGGGUGUUGACACGAUUUCUGCCCAGUGCUUUGAAUGUCAAAGUGAAGAAAUUCAAUGAAGCGCAGGUAAACAGCGAGAGUAACUAUGACUCUGUUAAGGUAGCCAAAUGCCUCGUCAUCUAAUUAGUGAUGCACAUGAAUGGAUGAACGAGAUUCCCACUGUCCCUACCUACUAUCUAGUGAAACCACAACCAAGGGAACGGGCUUGGCAGAAUCUGCGGUGACAGAAGACCCCUUUGAGAUUCACUCUUGUCUAGCACUGUGAAGAGACAUGAGAUGAGAGGUGUAGGAUAAGUGGGAGGCCCUCGGGCUGCCUGUGGAAUACCACUAGUCAUUGUUUUUUCACUUACCCAGUGAGGGAGCCCUGUGGGACUCUUGAUUCUGUCUCCAAGCGCCCGCCGGGCACAAGUCGCUUCCGGGACAGUGGCAGUUAGGUAGUUUUACUGGGGCGGUACACCUGGCCAACCAUAACGAAGGUUUCCUAAGGCGAGCUCAGGGAGGACAAAAAUCUCCCACGGAGCAGAAGGGUAAAAGCUUGCUUGAUCUCGAUUUUCAGUACGAAUACAGACCGUGAAAGCAGGGCCUCUGACUUUUUGGGUUUCAAGCAUGAGGUGUGAGAAAAUUUACGAGAGGGAUAAUUGGCUUGUGACGGCCAAGUGUUCAUAGCGACGUCACUUUUUGAUCCUUCGAUGUCGGCUCUUCCUAUCAUUGUAAAGCAGAAUUCACCAAGCGUUGGAUUGUUCAUCUGCUAAUGGGGAACAUGAGCUUGGUUUAGACAGUCGUGAGACAAGUUCGUUUUACCCUACUGAUGAUGUGUUGUUGCAAUAGUAAUCCUGCUCAGUACGAGAGGAACUGCAGAUUCAGACAAUUGGUGUUUGUGCUUGGCUGAGGAGCCAAUGGGGUGAAGCCACCAUCUGUGGGAUUAUGACUGAAUGCCUCGAAGUCAGAAUCCCCCCUACCCGUAAGAAUACUGCAGAGCUGUGGAGCCUCGGUUGGCCUAGGAUAGCCGGCCUCUGGGCCGGUGCGUAGAGCCGCUUGCCUCAGGACUCAAGUGUGAACAGAAGGGGACCACCUCUUUCGCCUGUAGUGCACUGC